Molecule: ribosomal RNA, 253 nt
Filed under: uncultured bacterium
Lineage: Bacteria
Description: partial 16S ribosomal RNA
Rfam family: Bacterial small subunit ribosomal RNA
Source: RNAcentral
GACGUAGGGCGCGAGCGUUGUCCGGAUUUAUUGGGCGUAAAGAGCUCGUAGGCGGUUUGUCGCGUCUGCUGUGAAAACUGGAGGCUCAACCUCCAGCCUGCAGUGGGUACGGGCAGACUAGAGUGCGGUAGGGGAGAUUGGAAUUCCUGGUGUAGCGGUGGAAUGCGCAGAUAUCAGGAGGAACACCGAUGGCGAAGGCAGAUCUCUGGGCCGUAACUGACGCUGAGGAGCGAAAGCGUGGGGAGCGAACAGG